RNAcentral lists this unclassified non-coding RNA (252 nucleotides) under uncultured fungus. RNAcentral's name for it is "sequence contains 5.8S rRNA gene". The stretch from base 1 to 53 matches the Rfam family "5.8S ribosomal RNA", at positions 102 to 154 of the family's 154-position model. Lineage: Eukaryota; Fungi. The record is from RNAcentral.
GAACGCAUCUUGCGCCCUUUGGUAUUCCGAAGGGCAUGCCUGUUUGAGUGUCAUGAAAACAUCAUCCCACCGGGUUUCCGGUGACGAUGGACUUGGGCGUUGCCGACCGGCUCGCCUCAAAAGUGUUAGUGGUUCUGGUCUGAAUCUGGCGUAAUAAGUUUCGCUGGCCGACGUCCGAGAUCCGCUCAUAACCCGUCUCUGACAUCUUUUGCUCUGACCUCAAAUCAGGUAGGACUACCCGCUGAACUUAAG